UACGUAGGGGGCAAGCGUUGUCCGGAAUCAUUGGGCGUAAAGAGCGUGUAGGCGGCUCGAUAAGUCUGCUGUGAAAGUCCAGGGCUCAACCCUGGAAGGCCGGUGGAAACUGUCGGGCUAGAGUCCGGAAGAGGCGAGUGGAAUUCCUGGUGUAGCGGUGAAAUGCGCAGAUAUCAGGAGGAACACCGAUGGCGAAGGCAGCUCGCUGGGACGGUACUGACGCUGAGGCGCGAAAGCGUGGGGAGCAAACAGG
Molecule: ribosomal RNA, 253 nt
Filed under: uncultured bacterium
Lineage: Bacteria
Description: partial 16S ribosomal RNA
Rfam family: Bacterial small subunit ribosomal RNA
Source: RNAcentral